AUUGAACGCUGGCGGCAGGCCUAACACAUGCAAGUCGAGCGGACGAAGGGAGCUUGCUCUUGGAUUCAGUUGCGGACGGGUGAGUAAUGCCCAGGAAUCUACCUGGUAGUGGGGGAUAACGUCCGGAAACGGGAGCUAAUCCCGUAUACGUCCUGAGGGUGAAAGUGGGGGUUCUUUGGACCUCACGCUUUUAGAUGAGCCUAGGUCGGAUUUGCUAGUUGGUCUGGUAAAGCCCUACCAAGGCAACGAUCCGUGACUGGUCUGAGAGGAUGAUCAGUCACACUGGAACUGAGACACGGUCCAGACUCCUACGGGAGGCAGCAGUGGGGAAUAUUGGACAAUGGGCGAAAGCCUGAUCCAGCCAUGCCGCGUGAGUGAAGAAGGUCUUCGGAUUGUAAAGCACUUUAAGUAGGGAGGAAGGGCAGUAAGUUUAUACCUUGAUGUUUUGACGUUACCAACAGAAUAAGCACCGGCUAACUACGUG
RNAcentral lists this ribosomal RNA (484 nucleotides) under uncultured bacterium. RNAcentral's name for it is "partial 16S ribosomal RNA". It matches the Rfam family "Bacterial small subunit ribosomal RNA", at positions 30 to 507 of the family's 1533-position model. The record is from RNAcentral.